Molecule: long non-coding RNA, 965 nt
Filed under: Sus scrofa (pig)
Lineage: Eukaryota; Metazoa; Chordata; Mammalia; Artiodactyla; Suidae
Description: lncRNA (ENSSSCG00060063234.1)
Source: RNAcentral
AAGGACCGAAGGGUGGGAGUUUCGCCCCCAUGGGCCGCAGGUCCUGAGGAUUAUACCACACCGUCUUGAUUGCCAUUUUAUUCGUGAGAUCCGAUCAGCCCAGGUGAUCUAUGUAAGAAUUGGACUAAAUGUGGAAAUCCACUUCUGGAAAAUGUCUGACAGCCACUCUUUACCACUGUUGCCUGCAACAGAGCUGGUCACGCAUCGCAAGGGAUUAGGACCAAAAUUGAGGCAUCCAGCACCCCGUGUUUCCCACCUGGGUGGAAAAGCGGAGGGAAGCGCCAGGGCGGAACUGGCUGCUGUGUCUCAAGGACUCUAGGAGAAGCCUCGGUCCCCGGGGCGGCAAAGGGGACCCGAGUGAGGCUUGAGGACUUAGAAAUGACAAUGGCGCCAGGGAGCGUCCCAGAUACCGGCUUCCAAGCGGCUAAAGCGGCUGAGGCGCGAAGAAGAAGCAGCUGCCUCGCUUCAGAGAGACGGGCACUUGCUGUCCCCUGCCGAGCCUGGAACAGGCUGCUCGCCGGGACCACGGCCUCCUACUGCCUCCUCUCACCACCUUCAAGAGACACCAUCUCCUAAAGACUCAAAGGUGAAAAGCAAAACCUGAACGCGGCCAUGAGCCGCAUCCAGGAAAAGAAACACCUACGACGGCUCUGCGCCUCCCCCCGCCCCAUUGCAUGCCUCCCUCCUGACACCCCUUCAAAGGCACACGGGGACACAGGUCCCCGCAGCCUCGUGGCCACUGCUUCUCAUCACGCUGGCUGCACAUCCCAGCCGCAGGAGCACCAAGUCAGACGGGGAAACAACCGCACGGCCCGGCCCUGCUGCUCAGGACAGGCUCAGCGCUGACAAGACUGGUGGUGGAGAGAAAUUGCCAAGAUGCUAAGAAACUUGAGAGGCCACCUCUGCAGCAGGACUGGGACGGGUGAGGGGAAAAGAACUUACUUUCAUUUUAUACUUUUUCCAUG